GCUUCAUCAUACAAUCGAGAAGAAAAAUUGGAACGAUACAAAGAAGAUCAGCAUGGUCCCUGCGCAAGAAUGACACGCACAAAUCGAGAAAUGCUUCAUCAUACA
Molecule: small nuclear RNA, 105 nt
Organism: Lycium ferocissimum
Lineage: Eukaryota; Viridiplantae; Streptophyta; Magnoliopsida; Solanales; Solanaceae
Source: RefSeq, a predicted model, not a curated record